Molecule: non-coding RNA, 241 nt
Organism: Caenorhabditis elegans
Lineage: Eukaryota; Metazoa; Nematoda; Chromadorea; Rhabditida; Rhabditidae
Source: Ensembl
AGUAGGACAGCGUAGGCGCAAGAAAAGGAAAAAAAAACAAAUCCUUGCCGGAGCGUAAGUUUUGGGACUCCUCGGCCGCGCUUUGACCAAAAACGAAACAUAUGCUCGUAAACAUAAAUUAAACUUUUGAGAGACGCUUCCUCCUCUCUUGCGCCAACACUCUGCAUGCCCCGGAUGCCUUUCUUUCAUAUCGCACACGCCUCUCAAUGUCACAAAACAAAAAGUCGGUGGUGGUGCUGGU